Molecule: long non-coding RNA, 388 nt
Filed under: Gossypium barbadense (sea-island cotton)
Lineage: Eukaryota; Viridiplantae; Streptophyta; Magnoliopsida; Malvales; Malvaceae
Description: long non-coding RNA (GBAR_LNC008487)
Source: RNAcentral
AUUUACUAUUUCUUUGUCUUAUUUCUCUGCUCUGUUGUCUCUGUUGCGUGUCCUCUUUUCUUGCUUGUUUGCAAGUGUGGCAGAGGAGUUGGUGGGCAGCAACGGAAGGUGCGAAGGUUGUUGAUACGGCGCACAUGGGCAGCGGCGCAUAGGGACCUAGGGUUUUUUUGCCUAGUUGAUAGUGUUUAGGUUUUGGGCCUUUUGGUCCCCAUAGGUUUGGGCGUAGUUGGGUUGUCCGGGAUUGGGUUUGCAAGUUGUAAAAGGACUGUUAAUAAUUGUUUAUUGGGCUCGGGCAAAUUUGGGCAUUUACACAUAUUAUGUCAUUUUUUUGUAGUUUUAUUUUUCAUUGUGACAUUGAAGGUUAAAAUAAUAAGAAAAUAUGAAAAUU